Folsomia candida is the source of this 527-nucleotide long non-coding RNA. RefSeq lists it as uncharacterized. The transcript is spliced from 2 exons. NCBI's taxonomy places the organism in Eukaryota, Metazoa, Arthropoda, Collembola, Entomobryomorpha, Isotomidae. The record is from RefSeq and is a predicted model, not a curated record.
CCCGAGAAGACAUUAGCAUCAUAAUUAUCUGAAAACUUACAAAAACUUGUUUCCAGUCAUCAUGACAACGCCAUCCAAGCCGGUCAUCUUUUUCGCCGCGGUGCUGACGCUUUCGUUCUUCCUCACCUACGCCACGGCCAGGCGUGCCUGCAACAACGGGGCGUCAAACUGCCUGGCCUGCGUCUGCAACGAGUGGGACGACACGGCCGUCUGCUGCACUGGCGAAUUUAACGAGAGCAACGGCAAUUGCGAGGGCAUCCUCAAGGGAAAGAACGGACCCUUCAAGAAGUGCUGCGGAGGAAAACGUGGCUUUGGAAGGUGCUGGUAGAUACAUACAUAACCACGCCAACAGAAAAUGUUUGUCUUAAAUUUCGUUUCAUUUGAAUAAUUGGAGAUGCAAGAAUUUUAAUAUGCAAAUUCUCAUUUUUGCAAAAACAUUAAAAGUGUAUGUACCAAGUUACCACUAAUUGGUAAAAGUAUUGGACUAACCAGUCGAAAUAAAAUACUAUCUUUGAAUAUGUAAAUAA